UGGACAUCACUGGGCCUAAAUUCACUGGGC
RNAcentral lists this non-coding RNA (30 nucleotides) under Homo sapiens (human). The record is from RNAcentral. Lineage: Eukaryota; Metazoa; Chordata; Mammalia; Primates; Hominidae.